GUGCCUAAUACAUGCAAGUAGAACGCUGAGGACUGGUGCUUGCACCGGUUCAAGGAGUUGCGAACGGGUGAGUAACGCGUAGGUAACCUACCUCAUAGCGGGGGAUAACUAUUGGAAACGAUAGCUAAUACCGCAUGACAAUGGAGGACCCAUGUCUUUCAUUUAAAAGGUGCAACUGCAUCACUAUGAGAUGGACCUGCGUUGUAUUAGCUAGUUGGUGAGGUAACGGCUCACCAAGGCGACGAUACAUAGCCGACCUGAGAGGGUGGACGGCCACACUGGGACCGAGACACGGCCCAGACUCCUACGGGAGGCAGCAGUAGGGAAUCUUCGGCAAUGGACGGAAGUCUGACCGAGCAACGCCGCGUGAGUGAAGAAGGUUUUCGGAUCGUAAAGCUCUGUUGUUAGAGAAGAAUGAUGGUGGGAGUGGAAAAUCCACCAUGUGACGGUAACUAACCAGAAAGGGACGGCAAACUACGUGCCAGCAGCCGCGGUAAUACGUAGGUCCCGAGCGUUGUCCGGAUUUAUUGGGCGUAAAGCGAGCGCAGGCGGUUCUUUAAGUCUGAAGUUAAAGGCAGUGGCUCAACCACUGUACGCUUUGGAAACUGGAGAACUUGAGUGCAGAAGGGGAGAGUGGAAUUCCAUGUGUAGCGGUGAAAUGCGUAGAUAUAUGGAGGAACACCGGUGGCGAAAGCGGCUCUCUGGUCUGUAACUGACGCUGAGGCUCGAAAGCGUGGGGAGCAAACAGGAUUAGAUACCCUGGUAGUCCACGCCGUAAACGAUGAGUGCUAGGUGUUAGGCCCUUUCCGGGGCUUAGUGCCGGAGCUAACGCAUUAAGCACUCCGCCCGGGGAGUACGACCGCAAGGUUGAAACUCAAAUGAAUUGACGG
RNAcentral lists this ribosomal RNA (890 nucleotides) under uncultured Streptococcus sp. RNAcentral's name for it is "bacterial SSU rRNA". It matches the Rfam family "Bacterial small subunit ribosomal RNA", at positions 44 to 916 of the family's 1533-position model. Lineage: Bacteria; Bacillati; Bacillota; Bacilli; Lactobacillales; Streptococcaceae. The record is from RNAcentral.